This 26-nucleotide non-coding RNA is filed under the name Homo sapiens (human). Lineage: Eukaryota; Metazoa; Chordata; Mammalia; Primates; Hominidae. The record is from RNAcentral.
UCCAUGUGCAGCACAAAGGGAAUGUG